UACAGAGGGUGCGAACGUUGCUCGGAAUUACUGGGCGUAAAGCGCAUGUAGGCGGAUCCAUAAGUCGGGCGUGAAAUCCCCAGGCUCAACCUGGGAACUGCGCUCGAAACUGUGGGUCUUGAGUGUCGGAGAGGAUGGCGGAAUUCCUGGUGUAGAGGUGAAAUUCGUAGAUAUCAGGAGGAACACCGGUGGCGAAGGCGGCCAUCUGGACGACAACUGACGCUGAGAUGCGAAAAGCGUGGGGAGCAAACAGGG
Molecule: ribosomal RNA, 255 nt
Filed under: uncultured bacterium
Lineage: Bacteria
Description: partial 16S ribosomal RNA
Rfam family: Bacterial small subunit ribosomal RNA
Source: RNAcentral